This is a long non-coding RNA of Saccostrea echinata, 757 nucleotides long. RefSeq lists it as uncharacterized. Lineage: Eukaryota; Metazoa; Mollusca; Bivalvia; Ostreida; Ostreidae. The record is from RefSeq and is a predicted model, not a curated record. The transcript is spliced from 4 exons.
UUCCUCAGGACUCAGAGUGAGAGUUUAGAGUUACAGCUGAUAACUUUGCUGGAAACUGUGAGCACAGUCUGUGCUCACCAGCAUACAAAAUCCAGGAGAAGAUUGAGUCUUUUGCAAUUGAGCAGGAUGAGGAAUCACACCAAUCAUUUGUAAAUGAAAGCAGCAGUCAUGAUGUUGUCAAUGAGAAUGAAUUUUAAAUAGGACAUGAUACAGGGCCACUUUUAAGUGAUGAAGCAGACGAGUAUGAUGAUGGUAAUGAUGAUGAAUCAUACCAUCCUUCAAGCGAUGAAAAAAGCUGUGAUGAAGAUACCAUUAAUGAUCUUGAUAUGCCCAGUAAGCCUCUCAAAUCUGAAAUGCAGCAGAAACAAGCUGCACUUGCAAGUGACAGCGAAAAGGACAGUGAAUGUGAAGAUGAUCAUGAUGAUGUCGGCAAAGUUUUACCACAGUCAGAGAAGCGAAAGACCAGGUUUUUAGAGGCCAAAAACAUCGUCUGGGAACUAUAAUAAUAAAAAACAUUCAUGUCUCUUUUGUGAGAAGUUUUGCCAGCAGGCAGUUGAUGGUAUGCAUAUCAUAUAAGCCCAUAGCUCUUUAAGUACAAAAAAUUGUGAGAUUCAUUUUUGCAUAUAGGUUCAGGAUGGAGCUGAAUAUUGAAAAAAUAUAUCCUAUAAUUUUUUUUUCAUGGACAUGUAGCAGACAGCUGUUUGCAUAAUUUAAGCAAGUAAUUAUUUUUUAACCAAAAUUUGUGAAAUUUAUCGCU